This 482-nucleotide ribosomal RNA is filed under the name uncultured bacterium. Its description in RNAcentral is "partial 16S ribosomal RNA". It matches the Rfam family "Bacterial small subunit ribosomal RNA", at positions 30 to 507 of the family's 1533-position model. The record is from RNAcentral.
AUUGAACGCUGGCGGCAUGCUUUACACAUGCAAGUCGAACGGUAACAGCACUUCGGUGGCUGACGAGUGGCGAACGGGUGAGUAAUACAUCGGAACGUGCCUAGUAGUGGGGGAUAACUACUCGAAAGAGUAGCUAAUACCGCAUGAGAUCUAAGGAUGAAAGCGGGGGACCUUCGGGCCUUGCGCUACUAGAGCGGCUGAUGGCAGAUUAGGUAGUUGGUGGGAUAAAAGCUUACCAAGCCGACGAUCUGUAGCUGGUCUGAGAGGACGACCAGCCACACUGGGACUGAGACACGGCCCAGACUCCUACGGGAGGCAGCAGUGGGGAAUUUUGGACAAUGGGCGCAAGCCUGAUCCAGCAAUGCCGCGUGCAGGAUGAAGGCCUUCGGGUUGUAAACUGCUUUUGUACGGAACGAAAAGCCCUCUUCUAAUACAGGAGGGUCAUGACGGUACCGUAAGAAUAAGCACCGGCUAACUACGUG